RNAcentral lists this ribosomal RNA (203 nucleotides) under uncultured bacterium. Its description in RNAcentral is "partial 16S ribosomal RNA". It matches the Rfam family "Bacterial small subunit ribosomal RNA", at positions 524 to 723 of the family's 1533-position model. The record is from RNAcentral.
GACAGAGGGUGCAAACGUUGCUCGGAAUCACUGGGCGUAAAGGGCGUGUAGGCGGGACGGUAAGUCGGGCGUGAAAUCCCUAGGCUCAACCUAGGAACUGCACUCGAAACUACCAUUCUUGAGUGUCGGAGAGGAAAGCGGAAUUCCUGGUGUAGCGGUGAAAUUGCGUAGAUAUCAGGAGGAACACCGGUGGUGAGUGAACG